Molecule: RNA transcript, 2790 nt
Organism: Capsicum annuum
Lineage: Eukaryota; Viridiplantae; Streptophyta; Magnoliopsida; Solanales; Solanaceae
Exons: 2
Source: RefSeq, a predicted model, not a curated record
UUUUUUUUUUUUUUUUUUUUUAAAAUACAGUCUAUGAUUUACGUUGAAUUAAGACCUGUAAGAUUUAUAAUCUGGUGGAUUUGCGGCUUGUGGGUAUGCUCGAUAUGAUUAUAUUAACGUGUGAAAGUAGUUGAUUUUGAUAAAAUUUGAGGCUUUUGUAUGGGGGUCGAGUAGGAUUUUUUUUCUUUUUUGAUAAUCGCGUGUACGAGCCAGUUUCUACGCACCUGACUAAUUUCGCGUGAUAUUUGCCAACUCCCACUAGCAACAGGUGAGAAAAAUCACUUAAUAUUUUUGUUUUUGUUGGGAUUUAAACCCGAGACCUAUGACUCUCAAGUCUCAAACACUUCAUUGACCACUAGGCUACACCCUUGGAUCGAGUAGGAUUAUCAGACUUACAUUUUCAAUUUGGACGUGAACUCAAUUAAAUUGGGUUUUUUAUUGUUUUUGUUAUUCAUGGAAUAUGGCUGAUUAUUUGAUGUUGAAUUCGAUUUCCAGCAGGCAUCUUAGGAUUAUUUCAAUUUUGUGAAAUUGGGGCUUCUUCAAUUACUUCCUUGCCUUGCCCCCCCCCCCCCUGGUUUUCUUGUUUGGGAAAACAGUGUACUAAUCCAACUGUGAAUAUUAACUUAUGAUUUUAUGAAAGAAAUAGUUUUUUCUCAAGUUACUUCCUCAGUCCCAACCUCCUUUUUUUCUUUUAGGAAAACGUGUGCUAUCUAAUCUUUUUAAAGAUGGAACAAUUAGAGAUUUAUAUUACAAAAACGUGAGAAAACACUGAGAAAACAACAAAUAUUGUUUGGUUUUGACUCAGAAGUUCAAAAUUGAGGGUAGCUAGGGGCAUUUGGGUGGGGAUGGGGUGGGGGGAGCUUUAAUUGAAGUAGUAGUGGAGCUCCUUUCCUUAUAUUUCUUCACGCCAAGAAAUCUAUCUUGGAAAGAAGUGUACUUAGUUCAGCUACAGAUGGCUAUCUUAUUGCUAUAUGAAAAUAUUGGGCUUUUUUUGCUUAUAAAGUGAUCAGGUAAAUAUGGGAUUUCUUUUCUUCUCAAAUUCCUUCUGCAGUUCAACCGUUUUUUUUUUAUUCUCCUUUUCAUUUGAACUUGUGCUCUUACUUCACAACGAGUGAACAAAUUGUUGUUUGAUGAAACGACUAAGUUAAAGUAGGAGUGGCUUUCCUUCUUUUUCAUUGAAAGGGUUAAAGUAUAUUGCAUGAUGAGAUUUCAAGAUAUUUAGCUGAUACCAUAGCUAUUAAAAGUUGCUGCUGUUCAAGAAAUCAAAUUGGAGAAUUAUGGUGGAUUUUGUCAGUGCAAAUGAUUUAAGUGAAUUAGUUGGGAAUUAAGUAUAUUUUGUAUGCUGUUUACUUAGAUCCAUAUGGAUGUGCGAGGAAUUCAAUGUUUUGUUAAGCUACAUAUCUUGGGUGGAGCAUUAAUCGCAGCCGUCGAUUUGAAUCAAAUGGUUGGCUUUGGUUGACUACUUACAUUUGUUCCAUCCAAGAAACAGUCACUUGUUUAUGUUGCUAUCAAGCUGUUCAUGUCCUAUCUUUCUCUCUACUGUUCUGGUGGUGAUGGUGGAGGUGUUAGUGAUAUUUGGUUAAGAGUUCUCCUGGAGCGAAGGCCAUGGGAGUCGUUUGAAGAAGAGUAGAACAAUUUCUUUAUUAAACUUCAGUCACAAUAUUAGUUUGGUAUUUUCUGGGAGAUGGAUAAAUGCAAUGGUUGUGGGAAACUGGGAAGGAUGGUGAGAGACAGGCUUGUGAGUGCUUACCAGGCUUCUCUUCCUCAUUCUCCUGCUGUUUCUGUUUGGGUUUGUAUUGUGCGCAAAAUAAGGUAUUCCUACAUAGCUGAGUGGGUGUAGGUGUAGUUAUAGUAUACUGGUUUCAUAAUAGCUUUCAUAUUUGGAAUUAUUAGUUUUCAUAAUAGUAUUAAUAACAGGAUAUAAAAGGAAAGAGAAAUAAUUAGUUGUAGAGAUAAUGUGCACCUCUUAAAGAAACUUGUCACUAACGGAAACUGGAGAAGGUCUAGGGGCAAUAGAUCUGAAAAUUUGCCGAUAAGAUGGAAUGUGCUAAAGCCUCGCCUGCUGUUAGAAAAGGGAAGAAGAAGAAUGUAAAGGAUGAGUUGGAUCGAAUUAAACAGGCUGAGAAAAAAAAGAGGCGCUUAGAGAAAGCCUUGGCUACUUCAGCUGCCAUUCGCUUUGAAUUGGAAAAGAAGAAACAGAAAAAGAAAGAAGAACAACAAAAGCUUGAUGAAGAGGGUGCUGCAAUCGCCGAGGCUGUUGCUCUGCAUGUCCUAGUAGGUGAAGAAUCGGAUGAUUCACGUGAGCUUUUGCUUAAGAAGGAUAAAGAAUCAAACCAAUGGGAUCUUGGUAGAAAUUCUUUUUCAUGGGUGGAGAAAGAGCCAUGCUUCCUCAUCAAGACUUCUCAGUAUAUUCAGUUGAAGGAACACAGUGGAUAUCUGGGCCCAACGGCGAUGGAUGCAUAUGGAAUGAGCAGGAAAAUACCUCGUGGAUGGUGUCUUCUGUACCUUUGGUAGGGAAUGAGCACCAUCAAUGGUUUGAUGUAGGGAAUUGGGAGGUUCAAAGAAUUUCUGCUGGCCUUCUUGCAGCGCAGGCUGUCUCAUCACUUCAGAUUGCAGGAGAUGCUCCAGUGACUCAUAUGUCUCUGAUAGGAUGCUGCGAUAGUGAAUUGGAAAACCUUAACGUCUAUCAUCCAGUUUGCAGUACCUUAUGAGAUGUUUUUUUUGUGGUUUUUGAAUAAUCCCUUGUAUAUAUUUCAAUUGAAAUGAAUGAAUGCGAGUUUGUUUGUGUUA